UACGAAGGGUGCAAGCGUUACUCGGAAUUACUGGGCGUAAAGCGUGCGUAGGUGGUUUGUUAAGUCUGCUGUGAAAGCCCCGGGCUCAACCUGGGAAUGGCAGUGGAUACUGGCAAGCUAGAGUGCGGUAGAGGGGUGUGGAAUUCCCGGUGUAGCGGUGAAAUGCGUAGACGAUCGGGAGGAACACCAGUGGCGAAGGCGGCACCCUGGACCAGCCACUGACACUGAGGCACGAAAGCGUGGGGAGCAAACAGG
RNAcentral lists this ribosomal RNA (255 nucleotides) under uncultured bacterium. Its description in RNAcentral is "partial 16S ribosomal RNA". It matches the Rfam family "Bacterial small subunit ribosomal RNA", at positions 524 to 776 of the family's 1533-position model. The record is from RNAcentral.